GCUGAACAGCCGGCGGACUGGCUCCUGUACUAGUGCACCAGGUGACCCGAGGGGGCCCCGUGUUGCGGACAUAGCAGGCUGCGCUUCCCAGUGGGCAGGGAUCUCUCGAAAUCCAGCGAAGGCCCUUGGGGGAUUCACGGACCCAAGGUGAAGAAUCUUUCUGGGUCUUUUAAGAGGAUGUGCAUGUGCAGUGCAGGUUGUGGCAGGGGCCCACCGGUGACCAGCAAGCCGACACGAGCUCAUUGCUCGGCACCUGGGACAGCAUGUCCUGGUGGGACAGCAGGUGCAGCCACACGAACCGGAGGGGCUUCCUCAGUUCAGAAUCCUCAGACCCUCUUUGGAUGCAAGAGACUGCUUCCCCCAGGUGCUAUGUGAAAAUACUGUAGGUCUCUUCAGGGACACCUUCCAGAUGAAGCUGGAGACAAGCUCCUGCUGUCCAAAUGAGGAGAAGGAAACCAAAGCACAGAAAGCGUAACCGUCCACCACCCUUUGUCAGAUGUCCAAGAGCACAGAAAGCCCGCUCCUCCCAGCUGGGUUGUGUUCAAUGAUUUGGUGCUGGAUCUCAGCCAGGCUGCCCCUGGUCUCCUGCCAGAGGCCGACUCAGGCCGACUCUGGAGGUAGUGAUGGGCGACGCCGGGUCAGGUGAACGCACCUCACACUGGGGUGGGAAUGAAGGAGUCCUGGUGGGCCUCUGCCCAUCAGCAACGGUCCCCUAGGAAACAGUGUGCUGGAGCAGCCAGUGGUGUUUCACGAACCAGUGCUAUUUUUAAAGAGAGGUGUGCGUAAGCAUUUACCCAGGGUGAAUCCAUCAUUUCGAUCCCACUUAGCUCCACCCUUCAUCUCUCUUUCAUCUGCUCAGCAUGCCGUGAGGACUCGCACAGCUUAAAGAGGAGGCCCUGCCGGGAGAAUCACUCUAACGGUUGUCAAGCAUCUGCCCGGGCCCGAUCUCAACUCGGAAAAAUAUUCGCCACAGCUAUGGAAAGGGAGGAAGCCACUUCCAGACGACAGGGGAGCGGGUGUAAACGGAGCCAACCUUUCAGGAAAGCAAUCUGGGAACCAGUAUCUGGAUCCUCACGCACGUUUGCACUUCCCACAUUUGUGUUUACUCAUCUCAUAUUCCGAUUUAAGGAAGUAAGUUCAAGAAAUUAUUUACUUGUAAAGACAUUCACCGCCGUGUUAUUUGCAACUGUAAACAAACACAAGACCCUUUGUGUCCAAAGAUAGGAAAACAAGGACAUCGUCCUUGGUCAUAAGGGAUGUCCUCGGUGCCAUAUUCUGGGGGGAUGACAUUUCUCAGAACAUUUGAUACAAUAGUUGAGCUUAUUUUUUUCCUUAAAAAAAAAAAAAAGUAAAAGUGUGGCAUUUCCAAACAUGCAAUUGAGACUAUAUCCAAA
Long non-coding RNA from Canis lupus familiaris (dog), 1394 nucleotides. RefSeq lists it as uncharacterized. The transcript has 6 exons. The record is from RefSeq and is a predicted model, not a curated record. NCBI's taxonomy places the organism in Eukaryota, Metazoa, Chordata, Mammalia, Carnivora, Canidae.